Molecule: small RNA, 28 nt
Filed under: Bombyx mori (domestic silkworm)
Lineage: Eukaryota; Metazoa; Arthropoda; Insecta; Lepidoptera; Bombycidae
Description: ovarian small RNA-3224
Source: RNAcentral
UCACUGAACGGGGAGCGAGGUGACGAGC